This 253-nucleotide ribosomal RNA is filed under the name uncultured bacterium. Its description in RNAcentral is "partial 16S ribosomal RNA". It matches the Rfam family "Bacterial small subunit ribosomal RNA", at positions 524 to 776 of the family's 1533-position model. The record is from RNAcentral.
UACGGAGGGGGCUAGCGUUGUUCGGAGUUACUGGGCGUAAAGCGCACGUAGGCGGCUUUGUAAGUUAGAGGUGAAAGCCCAGGGCUUAACCCUGGAAUUGCCUUUAAGACUGCAUCGCUAGAAUCGUGGAGAGGUGAGUGGAAUUCCGAGUGUAGAGGUGAAAUUCGUAGAUAUUCGGAAGAACACCAGUGGCGAAGGCGACUCACUGGACACGUAUUGACGCUGAGGUGCGGAAGCGUGGGGAGCAAACAGG